GCUAUGUUAGCAAAUAGUGCGGUUGAGUUAGAGUCAACAGAUGUGUUAAAAAUUGGCACACAUGGUA
Molecule: transfer RNA, 67 nt
Filed under: Yininemertes pratensis
Lineage: Eukaryota; Metazoa; Nemertea; Pilidiophora; Heteronemertea; Lineidae
Description: tRNA-Leu
Source: RNAcentral